Molecule: ribosomal RNA, 253 nt
Filed under: uncultured bacterium
Lineage: Bacteria
Description: partial 16S ribosomal RNA
Rfam family: Bacterial small subunit ribosomal RNA
Source: RNAcentral
UACGUAGGGGUCGAGCGUUGUCCGGAGUUACUGGGCGUAAAGGGCUCGUAGGCGGCCAACUAAGUCAGACGUGAAAUCCCCAGGCUCAACCUGGGAACUGCGUCUGAUACUGGAUGGCUUGAAUCCGGGAGAGGGAUGCAGAAUUCCAGGUGUAGCGGUGAAAUGCGUAGAUAUCUGGAGGAAUACCGGUGGCGAAGGCGGCAUCCUGGACCGGCAUUGACGCUGAGGAGCGAAAGCUAGGGGAGCAAACGGG